UCAGAGAGAUUUGUUGCUGCUAACAACAGUUCGAGGACAGUAUUUUUCUCUGCGAGAAAAAUGGCUGCCUGAAUCGCAGUGGCAUAAUUGGAUGAAAUGAGCAAGGACAUCCAACGCCUGCAUCAUACUGACCCCAGAUGAAUCAUCAUGGCAUCAUGAAAAUGAUAUGCUGUGGAAAACAUCCUCCACGCAAAGACGCCGUUGGACAAUGCGAUCCAUUUGAAAUGAAACAAAAAGACAAGGAAACACAAGGAAAAAACAAAACACUUGUGGGGUGAAUCCUUGAGAUGCUCAUGCAAGGUUUGUGAUUUUUUUUUCAGAACAUUUAAUUUGGACUGCAAUUUGUAAGAUGUUUUGGGGCAUUCGUUUUUGGAUGUGUUUGUUUGCACAGAGUUAACAGUGAAGGGCACACGUCGAGCCACUUAGUGCAAUAUCAUUACUAAUCAUCAACAUCUGCAUGCAGGAUUAAAUGUUGGCAAUCAUCAGCGGACCUGAAUAGCAGUAUCCCUUCAGAGUGAAGCUAGUAGCAUUUAACUUUAGCUUCACAGAGCAGUGGCGGAGCUACGUGGUGACAUUUCAGGUAUCAACUUAUUGCCACCCCUAUGUGAGUAAUGGUCUCACCUUGGCCGCCCCAGUGGCUAAUGUCAGGUGGCGAAACACUUCAGGGACCGGAAAGUCUUGGCUUUCCUACUGAGACUGCUGCCCUCAUGACCCGGACCCGAUAAGCAGAAGAAAAAGGGGAGUCCAAACUUUUGAAAGCAUGCGAGGGCCACGUUGAUAUUUUGUAAAGCAACACAUGAGAAGUUACAUAAGGUGCUGUUUUUUUUUUCCAUUUCCAAACAUUUCAACUUUCUUCUGAAAUUAUCUUCAUAAAUUUUCUCUUCAUAAUUCCCAUUAUUUUACAACUUUUCCCCCAACCUAAUUUUGCAAAAAUUCCAUCUUUAUUUUGUUUCCCAUAUGAUUUAAAUAUAAUAUUUUUCAAAACAAAUAACAUAUUUGUUUUCAUAUUUAAACUCUAUGCUACUAAAAUGAAAAAUUUCCUCAUAGCAUUAUUUUAUUCUCGUAAAAUUGUGACUUUUUUAUCGUUAAAAUACCUAUGAAAGGGAGAGUAAUAACUAAGCGCAGUGGUCUUAUUAUUGCUUUCUGUGUUCUCCUGCCUCUUCUACUUCUCCUCCCAGUAAGCCACAGAGUAAAGGUCAGAAGUUGUUCUCCUUUUUUUUUUUUAAUUACUGUUACAUUUAAUUCUUGUUGAAUUUUUUUGUUACUAUAUUUCAUAUGUCCGUCAUGUAGUCUGUGUACAGUGUAAGUGACUUAGGAGUUAAUUUCGGUGUAUGAUCUGACUUACAUCACAGUCUAGGAAUGGAACUCGUUCAUAACCCGCACUCACACUGGCCCCCCUAGCGAGAAUUGCAAGUCCUCACCUUUGACCUCAUGAAGCAUCUCUCAGCAGCACACAAACUAAAUCCAAAUUGUUUUUUUUUACAUAAUUGAAAGUUUUUCAAAAAAGUAAUGCAUCAAUUCCUUCCCUGGUAACAAAUUACAUUUAGGAAGUAGUGAUUCUGUUACUAAUUCAAUUACUUUUUUUUUUGCAAAAGUGACUAUUAACUCUAACAAAUGACAUUUCUCAAGUCAAAUGUACUCAUCAUACUGGUGAGUGAUACCUUAACGUGGCAGCGGGCAGAGCAAGUUUAAGGCGUACAUGUGAAAACGGUCAUUAUGGUGCCUGUCACAAGACAGCAGCAGGCAGAAUGCUAAGUAGUUUGAAACAGUUAGUCGUAGAUUGUUAACGCUCUCUGCCGCAGAAGUUGUCCUGUCCUAUUUAGAUGAGAAUGAAUAAUAUUGAAUCAUGAACUGAUGAACAAAUCUCUUCACACAGAGAAUAGUAACAGUGUUGUAUUGUCUGGGCUGUUUGACUGCUCUUUUGCAUUUGAAUAAUUCUUCAGCGCUAAAAACAAACCAUAGAGGGAGUACGUUCUUCACUCCAGUUGUAGUUUAUCAAGAAAGAGAAAGGCUAACAAAUGUUACCCACGGGAUGCACCCUCCGUUUCUUCCAAAAAUAAUGGAUGAAGCCCAUGAUGGGAAAACUCCCCGAUAUAAUUUCUGGGUAUAUUGUUUUCUUUAUCUGACCCAGUGCAUCAAUAGACAACAUAACUCCCAAUGGUGGAGGAUUUUCUUCUACACAGUAAAUAAGUCAUUGCUAUUGUUGGUUAAAUGUACGGAGAAUUUGUAUGGGCUCUUCACAGCACCAUUUCACAUGACGAUCAUGCCAGAAAAACACUCGCAGCACAGCUGAGGGUCAUGAGGUUAAUCUGGGCCCUCAUCCAAAAUUUCACAAGGGAUUAUAAGCCUAUGAUCCAAGAACCAACGCUAUAGAUCUUGCAUUAAUAUGGCACACAAGGCGACCAAGAGGGCUAAUGUCAGAUCGAAACAUGCGGUGUUCUUUCGUUCCUACCACUAUUAAACAUAAUUAGCACAAUCAUACCAAUUAAAACACACAGGAAUUUAUUCAUGUCAAGAGUCUACAUUCCUGGAACGUGUUUCCGCUAUAUUUUACAAAUUGAAAUAGUGUGAAAAAUCCUUUAUAACAUUCAGGAAAAUCUCCAAGUCAAAGGUCAGUCUCCUCUUAAUAGUUUAUUUAUGGUCACUUACCUGUGGUUAUUUUAAGGACUCUGCUUUUGUUGUUGUGAUAACAACUGGUGGAUGUGAAGUUUUGACAGGAACAUCCGAGGAGGGAAUCAUAUUCAACAGUAAGACGUCUCUGUCGUCAACCAGCACAAGACCUCAGCACAAGGCGUGAUGAUCCAUGUUGAAAUGAAGUGGAAUGUGCGGUAAAAUGACAUAUCUUGCUUUUUGUGAACAUGUUUUGCCAGGAUCACAGUACCUUUUGGAUACAAAUAUUCUCCUUCUGUAGUCCAUGUGGGUUUGCUAAGGACAUCAGCCUUGGAGCACAGCCAACCCAGCAACGAGGCAAAGAAGUUGAGCUGAGAAUCCCCUCCAGAUGGUCACUCUAAACUUUGGGAAAUGUGACCAGAUAGCAAGACAGAAAGCAUAAGACAGAAAGCAUAGCAUGGAGGUGAGCUGUUACAAAACUCCAAAGUUUAACCCCAUAAGUCCAAAAACUUGGUACACACCUUUUGGGAAAUGACAAGCACCAACUUGUCAAGUACUUGUUCAAGUAUCUCGGGGUCUUGUUCGUGAGGGAAGGUUGGAGCGUGAGGUCGAAAGGCGGAUUGGCACAGCAUCUGCAGUAAUGCGGUCGCUGUACCGGACCGUCGUGGUGAUGACGGAAGGCAAAGAUCUCAAUUUACCGGUCGAUAU
This is a long non-coding RNA of Dunckerocampus dactyliophorus (ringed pipefish), 3318 nucleotides long. RefSeq lists it as uncharacterized. The record is from RefSeq and is a predicted model, not a curated record. The transcript has 3 exons. NCBI's taxonomy places the organism in Eukaryota, Metazoa, Chordata, Actinopteri, Syngnathiformes, Syngnathidae.